RNAcentral lists this ribosomal RNA (540 nucleotides) under uncultured Acidobacteriota bacterium. Its description in RNAcentral is "bacterial SSU rRNA". It matches the Rfam family "Bacterial small subunit ribosomal RNA", at positions 13 to 532 of the family's 1533-position model. Lineage: Bacteria; Pseudomonadati; Acidobacteriota. The record is from RNAcentral.
UUGAUCCUGGCUCAGAAUCAACGCUGGCGGCGUGCCUCAGACAUGCAAGUCGAACGCGAAAGUCCCCUUCGGGGGAUGAGUAGAGUGGCGCACGGGUGAUUAACACGUAGGUAAUCUACCUUCGGGUGGGGAAUAACCCAGGGAAACUUUGGCUAACACCGCAUAAUGCAGCGGCACCACAUGGUGACAGUUGUUAAAGUGGGGGAUUUUAGGACCUCGCGCCUGAAGAGGAGCCUGCGGCAGAUUAGCUAGUUGGUAAGGUAACGGCUUACCAAGGCGACGAUCUGUAACCGGCCUGAUAGGGCGGUCGGUCACACUGACACUGACAUACGGGUCAGACUCCUACGGGUGGCAGCAGUCGGGAAUUUUGGGCAAUGGGCGAAAGCCUGACCCAGCAACUCCGCGUGAAGGAUGAAAUCCCUCGGGAUGUAAACUUCGCAAGAUUGGGAUGAAUUAGUAGGGGUUAAUACCCCCUAUGAUGACGGUACCUUUUGUAAGCUCCGGCUAACUCCGUGCCAGCAGCCGCGGUAAUAAGGGCGU